UUUCCGUAGGUGAACCUGCGGAAGGAUCAUUCAUAAUAAAGUGUUUUAUGGCACUUUUUAAAAAUCCAUAUCCACCUUGUGUGCAAUGUUAGAUCUCGUCAAUCUUGGCGAGAUUUUUUUACAUCAACUCAUUCUUUAACUAAUUUGUCUGAAAAAUAUUAUGAAUACUUAAUUCAAAAUACAACUCUCAACAACGGAUCUCUUGGCUCUC
This 211-nucleotide unclassified non-coding RNA is filed under the name plant metagenome. RNAcentral's name for it is "partial contains small subunit ribosomal RNA, internal transcribed spacer 1, and 5.8S ribosomal RNA". The record is from RNAcentral.